AGCGGAGCGGGUCAAGGCCGAGCUGUGGGAUUUCUAUAGAUGCCAGGUGGGAUUCGAGGCCAAGACGAAGGCCGUCUGUGAUGUAGCCGCCAAGAAGCUCGUGAAGGACAUGCAUUACGAGGCGCGCAUCCAGGUCAUCAUCGAAUUCCACGCUCAAUACAGACGGAGGAAGAUUAGAAAAGAGGAGGCAAGAACAAUGAACCUGACUAAGGACCAAUUCAUGAGGGUGCCUCCGUGGUGGUGUCGUGCGCAUAUCCAGUGCUGGGAGAAGAUGGUCGACGUGUGGUU
This is a long non-coding RNA of Setaria italica (foxtail millet), 288 nucleotides long. RefSeq lists it as uncharacterized. NCBI's taxonomy places the organism in Eukaryota, Viridiplantae, Streptophyta, Magnoliopsida, Poales, Poaceae. The transcript has 3 exons. The record is from RefSeq and is a predicted model, not a curated record.